CGCCGCCGCGCGCGGCGGGCUACGGGAGGCAGCAGUGGGGAAUAUUGCACAAUGGGGGAAACCCUGAUGCAGCAACGCCGCGUGAGUGAUGACGGUCUUCGGAUUGUAAAGCUCUGUCUUCAGGGACGAUAAUGACGGUACCUGAGGAGGAAGCCACGGCUAACUACGUGCCAGCAGCCGCGGUAAUA
Molecule: ribosomal RNA, 188 nt
Filed under: uncultured bacterium
Lineage: Bacteria
Description: partial 16S ribosomal RNA
Rfam family: Bacterial small subunit ribosomal RNA
Source: RNAcentral